UGAGCGAGGGGUUGAUAACGCCUUGCUGGGGGAAGAGGAGACUGAGCCAGCGUUGGAGAGAUCGUGGUCACUAAGGUCAAGAACAGCCAGGAGAGGUGAAAGAACAAGAGCUCCUAAGAUACAGGCAAAGGGGUGGGCCUUGCGUUUCCCCAGCUAACAGACGAGAAGACUGAGAUGACAAGCUGGCUGUAGGAUCAUAAUUCCUCAACCAGGGAUUGAACCCACGCUGCCUGCACUGAGAGCAUGGAGUCUUAAGCACUGGACUGCCAGGGAGUUCCCCACGUUACGUGUUUAACGGGACCACCCUGGCUGCGGGGUGGAGAAGAGAUUGUUGUUAUGCAGUCACUAAGUCAUGUCUGACUCUUUGCGAACCCCAUGGACUGCGGCCCGCCAGGCUCCUCUGUCCAUGGGAUUUCCCAGGCAAAAAUACUGGAGUGGGUAGCCAUUCCCAUCUCCAGGGGAUCUUUCCAACCCAGGGAUCGAACCUGCAUCUCCUGCAUUGCAGGCAGAUUCUUGACCACUGAGCUACCAGGGAAGCCUGAAGAACAGGUUGUUCAGAGGCAAAGUGGGAUCCGGGAGACCGAAGCGGAGGGAGGGAGAAGGGCUUGGACCAACAUCGGAGUAACAGAGAUGGUGACUCGGGUUUGAGGUUCUAGUACAUUCUGAAGGUGCAGACACCAGGAUUUGCCAGGCAUUGGACUGUGGGGUGUGAGAGAUUUUGGAUUAUUCCGAAGGUGUGGGCCCACGCAGCUGGAACACAUGGUUCCAGCUUGGAUUGUGGAUGGAGUCUGUUUGAGAUGUACAUCAGGCAUCCACGUGGAGGUGUCGAGGAGGGAGCUGGUAUCCAGGGAUGGAGUCCGGAAGAGAGGUCAGAGCAGGGGUAAACUCCGGGGAAGAACUGCCUGCCAGCCCUCUCCCAUCAGGGACUGAGGUCCUUGCUUAUGUGCCCCGCACGCCCGAACCUCCCCAUCACAGCACCCAUCACAGGAGAUCAUGGGCACUUGUCUGCCUUCCCCACCCAACUGCGUGAGAGAAACGGUUUUGUGUCUCUUGUUUACCAGUUGCCAGGGCCUGGAGGCCCAGAAGGUCCCAGACAAGCACGCGUCCCCUGCUCAGCGCCGACCCC
Dama dama (fallow deer) is the source of this 1126-nucleotide long non-coding RNA. RefSeq lists it as uncharacterized. Lineage: Eukaryota; Metazoa; Chordata; Mammalia; Artiodactyla; Cervidae. The record is from RefSeq and is a predicted model, not a curated record. The transcript has 4 exons.